RNAcentral lists this long non-coding RNA (755 nucleotides) under Mytilus galloprovincialis (Mediterranean mussel). The record is from RNAcentral. Lineage: Eukaryota; Metazoa; Mollusca; Bivalvia; Mytilida; Mytilidae.
UCUUUCUUUUGCUAAAAUAUUAUGAAUCGAUUCAACUUUCAUAUAAAGAUGUGAAUCAAUAUACUUUUAAAGGUUGCUAGGAGCAUUUCUAUUUCUAACUUUGAUAUAUGAUAACUGACUUUUAUAUUUUAUUGAAAUACUAGUUUCGAAGUGAUUAAGAUGAAAAUUGAUUCAAACGAUUAUUUUUACAAUUUCUUCGGUCUCUUUUUGAUAUGUUAACUCUGGCAAAUUCGUAUUAUACAGAUAACUGUCUGAACAACGCGUGAACAUCAGACCGCCUGACAUACCUGUAUAACCAAAAGGGAUCAUUUCAUAGUUGAGCGCUGUGGUAUUAUCGUACAAAUGUAUGCUUUGCUGUAUGUAUUUUAUCAGUGUUGAAAUGAACCAUUGUCUAUCAAAUAUUCAUUCGCUCCACCCGCCGCAGAAAUCAUUCAUAGGUUAAGUGUGCUAUCGACUGCAAUAUUUGCGGUUAAAUAUUUAAUGAAAAUGAAAGAAAACACUAUAAUGAGUAAAUGAUGUGAAGCCGUUUGCGUGCAAGAGUAGACAAAUAUGUUAGUAAGCUAAAUGUUUAAAUUUUGUACAUUAAAGUAAGCAAGGCCUAUAGCUAAAUGGUGUAUAAUAAAGUGCAUGCAAAAAUCCCACACCUUAAUGUAUCUUGUCCGAAUGUUCAUGCUUUGUAUAUGAUAGCUGUAAAAUGGUUGUAAUGAUGUCAAAUCAUUUACUGUACAUUUGUACCAUACUUAUACAAUAAAAAU